Molecule: ribosomal RNA, 359 nt
Filed under: uncultured bacterium
Lineage: Bacteria
Description: bacterial SSU rRNA
Rfam family: Bacterial small subunit ribosomal RNA
Source: RNAcentral
AACGAACGCUGGCGGCAGGCCUAAAACAUGCAAGUCGAACGCUCUAGCAAUAGAGAGUGGCGCACGGGUGCGUAACACGUGGGAAUAUGCCUUUUGGUACGGAACAACGUUUGGAAACGAACGCUAAUACCGUAUGGUCCCUUCGGGGUAAAGAUUUAUCGCCAAAAGAUUAGCCCGCGCUGGAUUAGCUAGUUGGUGAGGUAAUGGCUCACCAAGGCGACGAUCCAUAGCUGGUCUGAGAGGAUGAUCAGCCACACUGGGACUGAGACACGGCCCAGACUCCUACGGGAGGCAGCAGUUAGGAAUAUUGGACAAUGGACGCAAGUACUGAUCCAGCCAUGCCGCGUGAGCGAUGAAGG